RNAcentral lists this ribosomal RNA (253 nucleotides) under uncultured bacterium. Its description in RNAcentral is "partial 16S ribosomal RNA". It matches the Rfam family "Bacterial small subunit ribosomal RNA", at positions 524 to 776 of the family's 1533-position model. The record is from RNAcentral.
UACGUAGGGUGCAAGCGUUAAUCGGAAUUACUGGGCGUAAAGCGUGCGCAGGCGGUUUUGUAAGUCUGUCGUGAAAGCCCCGGGCUCAACCUGGGAAUUGCGAUGGAGACUGCAAGGCUUGAAUCUGGCAGAGGGGGGUAGAAUUCCACGUGUAGCAGUGAAAUGCGUUGAGAUCGGAAGGAACGCCGACGGCGAAAGCAAGGUCCUGGACUCGUCCUGACGCUGAGGCGCGAAAGCCAGGGGAGCGAACGGG